Molecule: long non-coding RNA, 581 nt
Organism: Gallus gallus (chicken)
Lineage: Eukaryota; Metazoa; Chordata; Aves; Galliformes; Phasianidae
Source: Ensembl
CAGGUUUGAGAUGCUGGAAACUGAAGAGAAGGUGCAGCACCCAGCAAUUUCCUUUGUUGGAUUUCUUAUUGUUGCUGAUUGCCCAAUACUGCAUUCUAUCCAGAGUCCUCUGCAUAGCCUGUCAUCCCUUCAGAGCAACAGCAGCUCCUUCUAUUUUACUGUAAUCACCAGAGUGGCUAAGGAUUGUAUGGGAACUGUUGAAUCACAGACUGAACCUCUGAUUGACCACCUGAGAUGAGCACUGAGUCAGCUGCAGGAGCACAGGUGAAGGCAAUUCACCUAAGGGCUGACUGCCACUGGGAAAGGAUCUCUUUCUUGAGAUUGCUUCUCUUGGAGCUUUUUUGGCGUGUGACUCCUUUUGGAUCUAAAGGAGUCCAUUCCGGCCCCUCCUCCCCGAGUACUACAGGGAAUGCGGGGUGUUCGGAUCACUCGGCACCAUCUUUGUCGAGUGCUCCUCGUCUGAGUUCCUGCAAGAGAGGCUACCUCCCGGCCGGCACUCCUGUUUCACGUCCGAGCUGACUCCCUGCGAACCCCCUCCGGGGUCCGUCUGAUCAGGACUCCAGAGCCGCCGGCUUUCCUCC